GCACUUUUUAAAAAGGAUAAAUAUCUUAAAAUAAUAAUAAUAAUUUUUUAAAAAAUCAAAAUGGAUAAAAAUCUUGAUUUCUGCCUUCUCUUUCUGCCUUUGAGAUGGAGCCACCCUCUCUCAAGCUGCCAAGACCCCACGGCUCCCUUUCAUCCCUCUGGUUUUGAGGCUCAGCUGUCAGUUAUCAUUCAUAUGCACUGGUGUUUUUCUGAUGAUAGAGAACCAGUUCUCUGUAGCCAGGCCUCCACCUGAGCAAAUCUAGCUGAGCAAGCUUCAGGACAAAUGGAGAAAGCAUAUUUCUUUGUGGAGAAAAAAUUAUUCCUAUAUGAUUUAAUAUGCACAACCAUAUGCCUACAACUCUGAUAUAUAGUGCGCAUCUUCUCCUGCACGAUGCCUGUCUCUAUCCUCUCCCUACAGGCAUUGGUGUUUGCAGCCCUUGGCCUACAAUCUUUCCACGUGUGUCUGCAGCCUCUCUCCUAUCAGAGUGGAUCUCCAGGUUCUUUGAGGAUCAUCCCCGUAACUUCUAUAGUAUCCACCGCCCUCAGUUCCCUACAACACCUGCUAUGGGACUGUUGACUAAAGACGCCUCGGUAUGUGACCGGCUGUCACUUCCAACAAAAUCUUUGAAGAUGAUAACAGAGUAAGUGCUCAGUAAUCUUUAGAAUCCAAUUCCAGAUAAGCCCAUGCUUUAAAACAGAAUCGUGGACACUCUCUUCUUCCCCAACAAGGGAUGGAUCCCACCUUCGGAAUGCUCUGAACGCUCUGCAUCUUUCUGGAAACUUCCCUGACCUUUGUUUGCCUCAUUUUCUCCUAUCUGUCAAAUGGAGCCACACUAGCUACUAUUCAUCAAGCGAUUUCAAGGAAAUGUGAGGCUCUUAAAGAAGAUUUCAAUCUCAGACUUAGAAUUCUCAUUACAAUGGCUUGUUUCACCUUCAAAGCACGAUAGCAUUAACGAGGUCUGCCUAAUUACACUGCAGAGCAAUGGCUUGCAUUUAUGUUGCUGCAUGUGACGGAAAUUGGGGUGGUCAUUUGUCGAAAACAUUCCCAUGCCUGAGAGAUAGGUACAUAAACUUUCAGCCUUAUCUGAUUAUCAAUGAAGGUUUUGUAUGUGUG
RNAcentral lists this long non-coding RNA (1113 nucleotides) under Canis lupus familiaris (dog). RNAcentral describes it as "lncRNA (ENSCAFG00000052098.1)". The record is from RNAcentral. Lineage: Eukaryota; Metazoa; Chordata; Mammalia; Carnivora; Canidae.